CACACAUACAUACAAGCAGCUCUGUGUUGCUGGAGACGCUGCAAUUCACGUGCAGACUGCCCCUCCCCCAAGAUCAGAGUGCUGAAAGCCUGCUCUUCAAGACAACAGUAAACUUUAAACUUUCAAAGCAUCUUUUAACUGUUUGACUUAGCUGAAAUAUUGCCAUACACUUUGAAGGUGGAAGCAAGUUUGUGGGUCCAAAUGGAAAACACGAAUGAUAGAUAG
Molecule: long non-coding RNA, 225 nt
Organism: Alosa sapidissima (American shad)
Lineage: Eukaryota; Metazoa; Chordata; Actinopteri; Clupeiformes; Clupeidae
Exons: 3
Source: RefSeq, a predicted model, not a curated record